This 946-nucleotide long non-coding RNA is filed under the name Gallus gallus (chicken). Its description in RNAcentral is "lncRNA (ENSGALG00010009664.1)". Lineage: Eukaryota; Metazoa; Chordata; Aves; Galliformes; Phasianidae. The record is from RNAcentral.
GGGGUGAGGGCAGGGGUGUCUUGGGGAGCAGUUAGGGGUCCUUCGGGCCUACGAAGGAUACCGUUUGUGGCUGACUUAUCUGUCUUGUAUGGCAUGGAGACCGGUUAGAGAGCUGAGGACAGGCGCAUGUCCAGCACUGGUUCAAUCUUGGAGUAGACACCCAUCUGCAAUGCAGAGAGGAAGGACGAAAGGAGCAGCCUCCUGCCCUGCUUCUCUGCUCUGCCCUCCCCUGCACAGCCCCGCUCACCGAGUUCCUGGUCUGAAAAUGUUUUCCUUGGCCAUUUUGGGCUCACUGUGUCAGCAGCGCCACAUUGACACGGCCACUGCAGUUAUAUGCGGUGUGGUGCCGGCACCUGCAGAGGGAUGGGGAGUCAGACAAGCAGAGUUAAAGGUUUGGGUUAAGAGCAGGGGGAUGCUAUGGAGCUUCCAUAGGGCUGUAGGUGCAAGACAGGCUACAGUUUGGGCGUGACUUAUCUUUUUUGUAGGAUGUGAACACCAGCUUGUCAAAUGGAGCUCAGGCCCUGGUGGUCAUCUGUUUCCAUUGGUGUUGGGCUGUCCAUCUGCAAGGCAGAUGAGAGGCACGAGAGGAGCAGCCUCCUGCCCUGCUUCUCUGUGCUGCCCUCCCUUGCACAGCCCCGCUCACCGGGUUGCUGGUCUGAAAAUGGUUUCCUUGGCCAUUUUGGGCUCACUGUGUCAGCAGCGCCAUGUUGAGAUUGCCACUGCAGUCAUGCGGUAUGGUGCUGGCACCUGCAGUGGGGUUGAGAUUCAGCAAAGCAGAGUUAAAGGUUUGGGUUAAUGCAGGGGGAUGCUAUGGAGCUUCCAUAGGCCUGUAGUUGCAAGACAGGCUAGAGUUUGAGCGUGACUUAUCUUUUUUGUUGGAUGUGAACUCCAGCUUGUCAAAUGGAGCUCAGGCCCUGGUGGUCAUAUGUUUCCAUUGGUGCUGGGC